AUUGAACGCUGGCGGCAGGCCUAACACAUGCAAGUCGAACGGUAACAGGAAGAAGCUUGCUUCUUUGCUGACGAGUGGCGGACGGGUGAGUAAUGUCUGGGAAACUGCCUGAUGGAGGGGGAUAACUACUGGAAACGGUAGCUAAUACCGCAUAACGUCGCAAGACCAAAGAGGGGGACCUUCGGGCCUCUUGCCAUCGGAUGUGCCCAGAUGGGAUUAGCUAGUAGGUGGGGUAACGGCUCACCUAGGCGACGAUCCCUAGCUGGUCUGAGAGGAUGACCAGCCACACUGGAACUGAGACACGGUCCAGACUCCUACGGGAGGCAGCAGUGGGGAAUAUUGCACAAUAGGCGCAAGCCUGAUGCAGCCAUGCCGCGUGUAUGAAGAAGGCCUUCGGGUUGUAAAGUUCUUUCAGCGGGGAGGAAGGGAGUAAAGUUAAUACCUUUGCUCAUUGACGUUACCCGCAGAAGAAGCACCGGCUAACUCCGUG
RNAcentral lists this ribosomal RNA (490 nucleotides) under uncultured bacterium. Its description in RNAcentral is "partial 16S ribosomal RNA". It matches the Rfam family "Bacterial small subunit ribosomal RNA", at positions 30 to 507 of the family's 1533-position model. The record is from RNAcentral.